UGGGGAAUAUUGCACAAUGGGCGCAAGCCUGAUGCAGCAACGCCGCGUGAGGGAUGACGGCCUUCGGGUUGUAAACCUCUUUUAGUAGGGAAGAAGCGAAAGUGACGGUACCUGCAGAAAAACGCACCGGCUAACUACGUGCCAGCAGCCGCGGUAAUACGUAGGGUGCGAGCGUUGUCCGGAAUUAUUGGGCGUAAAGAGCUCGUAGGCGGUCUGUCGCGUCUGCUGUGAAAAUCCCGAGGCUCAACCUCGGGCCUGCAGUGGGUACGGGCAGACUAGAGUGCGGUAGGGGAGAAUGGAAUUCCUGGUGUAGCGGUGGAAUGCGCAGAUAUCAGGAGGAACACCGAUGGCGAAGGCAGUUCUCUGGGCCGUAACUGACGCUGAGGAGCGAAAGCGUGGGGAGCGAACAGGAUUAGAUACCCUGGUAGUCCACGCCGUAAACGUUGGGCGCUAGAUGUGGGGCACCAUUCCACGGUUUCCGUGUCGCAGCUAACGCAUUAAGCGCCCCGCCUGGGGCAGUACGGCCGCAAGGCUAAAA
This 538-nucleotide ribosomal RNA is filed under the name uncultured bacterium. RNAcentral's name for it is "partial 16S ribosomal RNA". It matches the Rfam family "Bacterial small subunit ribosomal RNA", at positions 355 to 899 of the family's 1533-position model. The record is from RNAcentral.